Molecule: non-coding RNA, 828 nt
Filed under: Pongo abelii (Sumatran orangutan)
Lineage: Eukaryota; Metazoa; Chordata; Mammalia; Primates; Hominidae
Source: RNAcentral
UACUAGCACACCAUUUGUUAGAGUGUGAACUGGUUAGAAUGUAGAUGAGGGAUAGUUGGAGGCCACAGAAGACAAGCAAAGAGACCAAACUGUACAUUCAUCUAGAAAGGCUAGAUAAGAUUAUAUUAUAUAUAGAUAAGAUUGCAUUAGAUUUUUAAUGUCACCUUCAAGAAAGAAGGAAAUUUCAGGAUAUCAGAAAUGCAGAGGACACAAAGCCCUAAUGGUACAUUCUAAUAUUAUGGCAGCCAGGAUGAGGGGGAAGAGCAGUUGAUAGAUCCAGAAGUGUCCUUUAGGAUAGAGGUUUGUGUUUCAAUGCCCAGACAGAGACAGGAGACAAGGCUCUGGGUUCAUGGAAGGUGAAGAGUUGGAAUGAAGACCGUUGCAUUGACAAACCCCUCAAAGAACUGCAUGCACCUCAGUGAGAAAAUAAAAGCUCCACCUGCUGGCCUGGAAGGGGAGCAGUCUCUGGAUAGAAGAUCCACAUGUACAGACAAAAUAUUUUUCAUGUCUCACAGUGACCAGCAUUUGUAAUAACAGUGGAGAUGGAAAAACCUGAAGUGGCUUGUGUUCCUCUUCCUCCCUCCCCAGGCUCAGCUAAUACCUCGAUCACCCACAGUGGAGACCCCUGAUCUCCAUAAGUGUCCCUGACAUUUCAAGGGCACAAAUUCUCUGGACACACGGAGGGAAUAAUGCUGACAUUUUAUAGAAGCUGACCCACUGGAUAUCCUUCUCACCCAACUCCAUUAGGCUAGGGAGAGUAAGAGGCAUGGUGACAAGGUGGCAAAGAUGUCACCAUGCCAUCCAAUCACGAGGUCUCCAGGAAACUGU